RNAcentral lists this ribosomal RNA (440 nucleotides) under uncultured bacterium. RNAcentral's name for it is "partial 16S ribosomal RNA". It matches the Rfam family "Bacterial small subunit ribosomal RNA", at positions 338 to 795 of the family's 1533-position model. The record is from RNAcentral.
CCUACGGGAGGCAGCAGUAGGGAAUAUUGCUCAAUGGGGGAAACCCUGAAGCAGCAACGCCGCGUGGAGGAUGAAGGUUUUCGGAUUGUAAACUCCUUUUGUUAGAGAAGAUAAUGACGGUAUCUAACGAAUAAGCACCGGCUAACUCCGUGCCAGCAGCCGCGGUAAUACGGAGGGUGCGAGCGUUACUCGGAAUCACUGGGCGUAAAGAGUGCGUAGGCGGGAAGGGAAGUCAUAUUGGAAAACCUAUGGCUUAACCAUAGAACUACAUUUGAAACUGUUAUUCUUGAGUAUGGGAGGGGUAAGUGGAAUUCCUGGUGUAGGGGUAAAAUCCGUAGAGAUCAAGAGGAAUACUCAUAGCGAAGGCGAGCUGCUAGAACGUAACUGACGCUGAUACGCGAAAGCGUAGGGAGCAAACGGGAUUAGAUACCCUGGUAGUC